Molecule: long non-coding RNA, 246 nt
Filed under: Glycine max (soybean)
Lineage: Eukaryota; Viridiplantae; Streptophyta; Magnoliopsida; Fabales; Fabaceae
Description: long non-coding RNA (GMAX_LNC001162)
Source: RNAcentral
AUGAAUUGGACACUAAUGGCCAAGAAGAAUGCAACUUGCAGCAGUUCCUUCCCUCCAAUGUAUGAAUUAACCACCAUACAGUAUGUAGCUAUCCAACCGUCAUGAAAACACAUGUUUUGCGGCGACGAGACAAUCAGCAAAUCCCAUAUUGCUAUCAGGACAGGAAUUUAACAUCGCUAGUCCCCACCGAGCUGGUUCCUGUUAAAUGUAUCCCCCGGCUGGUGGCUACGACAGGGUGCAUGAUCG